GUCGCGAUGGCGGAGUGGUUAAGGCGAUGGACUGCUUAUCCGUUUUGCUCUUCACGCGUGGGUUCGAAUCCCAUCCUCGUCG
This 82-nucleotide transfer RNA is filed under the name Danio rerio (zebrafish). It matches the Rfam family "tRNA". Rfam says of the family: Transfer RNA (tRNA) molecules are approximately 80 nucleotides in length. Lineage: Eukaryota; Metazoa; Chordata; Actinopteri; Cypriniformes; Danionidae. The record is from Rfam by way of RNAcentral.